UACCAGCUCUCCGAGUGGUGUGGAUGUUUAUUGGGCCUAAAGCAUCCGUAGCUGGCUGGACAAGUCCCCUGUUAAAUCCACCGAUUUAAUCGUUGGUGUGCGGGGGAUACUGUUCGGCUAGGGGACGGGAGAGGCCGACGGUAUUUCCGGGGUAGGGGUGAAAUCCUAUAAUCCCGGGAAGACCACCAGUGGCGAAGGCUGUCGGCUAGAACGCGCCCGACGGUGAGGGAUGAAAGCUGGGGGAGCGAACCGGAUUAGAUACCCGGGUAGUCCCAGCUGUAAACGAUGCAGGCUAGGUGUUUGGGCGGCCACGUGCCGCUCUAGUGCCGCAAGGAAGCUGUUAAGCCUGCCGCCUGGGGAGUACGGCCGCAAGGCUGAAACUUAAAGGAAUUGGCGGGGGAGCACCACGAAGGGGUGAAGCUUGCGGUUU
Molecule: ribosomal RNA, 430 nt
Filed under: uncultured archaeon
Lineage: Archaea
Description: bacterial SSU rRNA
Rfam family: Archaeal small subunit ribosomal RNA
Source: RNAcentral